AGUGAACGCUGGCGGUAGGCCUAACACAUGCAAGUCGAACGGCAGCACAGUAAGAGCUUGCUCUUACGGGUGGCGAGUGGCGGACGGGUGAGGAAUACAUCGGAAUCUACUUUUUCGUGGGGGAUAACGUAGGGAAACUUACGCUAAUACCGCAUACGACCUACGGGUGAAAGCAGGGGAUCUUUGGAGCUUGCGGGAUUGAAUGAGCCGAUGUCGGAUUAGCUAGUUGGCGGGGUAAAGACUCACCAAGGCGACGAUCCGUAGCUGGUCUGAGAGAAUGAUCAGCCACACUGAAACUUAAACACAGUCCAGACUCCUACGGAAGGCAGCAGUCGGGAAUAUUGGACAAUAGGCGCAAACCUGAUCCAACCAUACCGCGUGGGUGAAGAAGGCCUUCGGGUUGUAAAGCCCUUUUGUUGGGAAAGAAAAGCAGCAGGUUAAUACCCCGCUGUUCUGACGGUACCCAAAGAAUAAGCACCGGCUAACUUCGUG
This 492-nucleotide ribosomal RNA is filed under the name uncultured bacterium. Its description in RNAcentral is "partial 16S ribosomal RNA". It matches the Rfam family "Bacterial small subunit ribosomal RNA", at positions 29 to 507 of the family's 1533-position model. The record is from RNAcentral.